This is a ribosomal RNA of 601 nucleotides. The stretch from base 238 to 391 matches the Rfam family "5.8S ribosomal RNA".
UAGAGGAAGUAAAAGUCGUAACAAGGUCUCCGUUGGUGAACCAGCGGAGGGAUCAUUAAAGAGUGUAAUAACUCCCAAACCCAUGUGAACAUACCUUACGUUGCCUCGGCAGGUCGCGCCUACCCCGUAGAGACUUACCCUGUAGGGCUCUACCCGGUGGACGCGGGUAAGCCUGCCGGCGGCCCACGAAACUCUGUUUAGCAUUGUACUUCUGAACAAUAUAACUAAAUAAGUUAAAACUUUCAACAACGGAUCUCUUGGUUCUGGCAUCGAUGAAGAACGCAGCGAAAUGCGAUAAGUAAUGUGAAUUGCAGAAUUCAGUGAAUCAUCGAAUCUUUGAACGCACAUUGCGCCCAUUAGUAUUCUAGUGGGCAUGCCUGUUCGAGCGUCAUUUCAACCCUUAAGCCCUGUUGCUUAGCGUUGGGAGCCUGCUGUUGCAGCUCCUCAAAGUUAGUGGCGGAGUCGGUACACACUCUAGACGUAGUAAUUUUUAUCUCGCCUAUAGGUUGUGCCGGUCCCCUGCCGUUAAACCCCCCAAUUUUUAAAGGUUGACCUCGGAUCAGGUAGGAAUACCCGCUGAACUUAAGCAUAUCAAUAGCGG